This 599-nucleotide ribosomal RNA is filed under the name uncultured bacterium. Its description in RNAcentral is "bacterial SSU rRNA". It matches the Rfam family "Bacterial small subunit ribosomal RNA", at positions 67 to 661 of the family's 1533-position model. The record is from RNAcentral.
CGGUAGCAGGAAGUGCUUGCACUUUGCUGACGAGUGGCGGACGGGUGAGUAAUACUUAGGAACAUGCCUUUGUGUGGGGGAUAACCAUUGGAAACGAUGGCUAAUACCGCAUAACGUCUUUGGACCAAAGAGGGCUUCCGGUCUCUCCCGCAAAGAGUGCUCUACGAGAGAUUAUCUUGGUGGUGAGGUAGGGGCUCCCCAGGGAGACGAUCUCUAUGUGCUCUGAGAGGAAGAUCACCCACUGUGACUGUGAGACACGGCCCACACUCCUACGAGAGGCAGCAGGGGAGAAUAUUGCACAGUGGGAGCAACCCUGAUGCACCCAUGCCGCGUGUGAGAAAAAGGCCUUCGGUGUGUAAAGCACUUUCAGGUGAGAGGAAAGGUUGGUGGUUAAUACCCAUCAUGUGAGACGAUAGCCACAGAAGAGACCCCGUAUAUCUCCGCGCCAACACGCGCGAAUAUACAGAGGGCGAGAGCGAUACUCGAAAUUAGUGCGCGUAGAGCGCACGCACGCGGUGAUAUAAUAUAUAUGAGAGACUCGCGCUCUCACUCUGAGAAUAGUAUAUAGAUGUGUAUGACUAGAGUCUUGGAGAGGAGAG